UGAACGCUGGCGGCGUGCCUAAUACAUGCAAGUCGAGCGAACAGAUGAGGAGCUUGCUCCUCUGACGUUAGCGGCGGACGGGUGAGUAACACGUGGAUAACCUACCUAUAAGACUGGGAUAACUUCGGGAAACCGGAGCUAAUACCGGAUAAUAUAUUGAACCGCAUGGUUCAAUAGUGAAAGACGGUUUUGCUGUCACUUAUAGAUGGAUCCGCGCCGCAUUAGCUAGUUGGUAAGGUAACGGCUUACCAAGGCAACGAUGCGUAGCCGACCUGAGAGGGUGAUCGGCCACACUGGAACUGAGACACGGUCCAGACUCCUACGGGAGGCAGCAGUAGGGAAUCUUCCGCAAUGGGCGAAAGCCUGACGGAGCAACGCCGCGCGAGUGAUGAAGGUCUUCGGAUCGUAAAACUCUGUUAUUAGGGAAGAACAAAUGUGUAAGUAACUAUGCACGUCUUGACGGUACCUAAUCAGAAAGCCACGGCUAACUACGUG
RNAcentral lists this ribosomal RNA (495 nucleotides) under uncultured bacterium. Its description in RNAcentral is "partial 16S ribosomal RNA". It matches the Rfam family "Bacterial small subunit ribosomal RNA", at positions 30 to 507 of the family's 1533-position model. The record is from RNAcentral.